GACGAACGCUGGCGGCGUGGAUUAGGCAUGCAAGUCGAACGCGAACGACAUUCUUCGGAGUGUUUAGUAGAGUGGCGAACGGGUGAGUAACGAGUAGGUAAUCUACCCUUAAGUUUGGGAUAGCCCCGGGAAACCGGGAUUAAUACCAGAUGUGAAAGAAAUUUUAAAGGAGGCCUCUUUACAAUGCUUCCGCUUAAGGAUGAGCCUGCUUUCUAUUAGCUAGUUGGUGUGGUAAAGGCAUACCAAGGCGAUGAUAGAUAGGCGGCCUUAACGGGUGGUCGCCCACACUGGGAUUGAGAUACGGCCCAG
RNAcentral lists this ribosomal RNA (309 nucleotides) under uncultured bacterium. Its description in RNAcentral is "bacterial SSU rRNA". It matches the Rfam family "Bacterial small subunit ribosomal RNA", at positions 28 to 334 of the family's 1533-position model. The record is from RNAcentral.